CACGGGGGGAGCAAGCGUUGUUCGGAUUCAUUGGGCGUAAAGGGCUCGUAGGCCGCUCUGUAAGUCGGAAGUGAAAGACCACGGCUCAACCGUGGAACCGCUUUCGAAACUGUGGAGCUUGAGGCCGGGAGAGGAGAUUGGAAUUCCUGGUGUAGCGGUGAAAUGCGUAGAUAUCAGGAGGAACACCAAUUGCGAAGGCAGCUCGCUGGGACGUAACUGACGCUGAGACGCGAAAGCGUGGGGAGCAAACAGG
RNAcentral lists this ribosomal RNA (253 nucleotides) under uncultured bacterium. RNAcentral describes it as "partial 16S ribosomal RNA". It matches the Rfam family "Bacterial small subunit ribosomal RNA", at positions 524 to 776 of the family's 1533-position model. The record is from RNAcentral.